Molecule: long non-coding RNA, 412 nt
Filed under: Mytilus galloprovincialis (Mediterranean mussel)
Lineage: Eukaryota; Metazoa; Mollusca; Bivalvia; Mytilida; Mytilidae
Source: RNAcentral
AACAAGUCUUUACAUCACUAAACAUACGACUGUAUUUAGUGACAACUUGAAUGUUUUUAAUCAACUAAUAGAAGUUCCUGUGUAUGUUUCAUGCACAAAUGUAUGAGUGUUGACGUAUAUUUUCGUUUCCGGCUUUACCAAGUGUGUAGAAUCUAGAUGCUACCGUGUUUCUACUUCCAAAUUGAAGAGUUCACGUGCUACUAUUGGUCAAGAAUAAUGUAUUCUGAAUUGGCGUGACUUCAAUCUUCCGAUAUAUGGCGCAACAUUGUUAUCACAAAUGUUGGCUUAAUCUGCUUAGCGUGGAGAGAACGGGAGUUGAUCGUAACCCUUGGCUAGCGAAGAUGAAUUUACCUAAGAUACGAUAAAUUUUACUAAUCAAAGAUUUUGUUUACCUCUGAUGUCUUUUAUAAAG